RNAcentral lists this ribosomal RNA (274 nucleotides) under uncultured bacterium. RNAcentral describes it as "partial 16S ribosomal RNA". It matches the Rfam family "Bacterial small subunit ribosomal RNA", at positions 523 to 796 of the family's 1533-position model. The record is from RNAcentral.
AUACGGAGGGGACUAGCGUUGUUCGGAAUUACUGGGCGUAAAGCGUACGUAGGCGGAUCAGAAAGUAUGGGGUGAAAUCCCAGGGCUCAACCCUGGAACUGCCUCAUAAACUCCUGGUCUUGAGUUCGAGAGAGGUGAGUGGAAUUCCGAGUGUAGAGGUGAAAUUCGUAGAUAUUCGGAGGAACACCAGUGGCGAAGGCGGCUCACUGGCUCGAUACUGACGCUGAGGUACGAAAGUGUGGGGAGCAAACAGGAUUAGAAACCCUAGUAGUCC